Molecule: long non-coding RNA, 1208 nt
Filed under: Olea europaea (common olive)
Lineage: Eukaryota; Viridiplantae; Streptophyta; Magnoliopsida; Lamiales; Oleaceae
Description: long non-coding RNA (OEUR_LNC003223)
Source: RNAcentral
CCCAUAUCCAGAAUAUUAUCCCCAAUAAAAAUAGCCCACUUCUUCUUCUUCUUCUUCUUCAUGUUCGAGGGUUUGAAGUGAACAUACACGGAUAGCCACUGCAGAUCUGUUUUGGAUUCGAGACCGACGGCGCCAACUUGUUAUUUCUUUCUAGACAUCUUCCAUCUUUAGCCCACACCGCCGCUACGGUAAAUCUACAAAUUUUCUAAAGAUUUCUUGCCAUGUCCAAUUGAACCUUGAAGAAUCCGACCCGUAUUCCGUACCCGUGUCAUGUCGUGUCGACACAGGUACUCCGGGCCGGAAUGAAGAGUCCGAGCAUCACAGGUUAAAGCAUCCCUAUGUACCGACUUAAACUGAUGAGAUCAAGUAGAUAAGUAAAUGUAUCUGUUUGCACCAACUUAAAACUGAUUAGAUUUAUUGAUUUGUUGAUAAGUAAAAGCGCACACACAUACCAAUUUAAAUUGAUUAGAUCAAGUAGAAGAUUAAAAGCACACAUAUGACCCAAUUGUGUGUAGUGAUUUCUAAUUCUCCCCAUUUCUGUAAAAACAAAUAUGAAUUUUAAUUAAUCGUUUCCAAUGAGACAACAAUAAUCAAGCUAAUCAAAAAAUACAUAUUUAAUAAUCUUGUGGUUAAGGUUUCAACCUUAUUAGCCAUUUGAGUUUGGCAUUAUUUAUUAGAUAUCUAUUGUGAAUCAUAUUAUGUGCUUUUUUAUGUGUUUUCUUUUAUACAAGCAUGCUCUUUAAUGGAUUUAGUGCUUGCUUGGUUACUCUUACAAGUGCUUAUAAGUUGGUCAAAUUCUAUUUUUAUCAUAGGACCCACAACCUCACAUUCCUUGGGAUCCGCUACUUGUAAGCACUUAUAAGAGUGGCCAAGCAAUUGUUCGUUGUUCUCAUAUGGGUGAUUUUACUUCUUACCAUGCUUCACAGAUGGUGUGAUAUGAGAUACCCGGAAGUGUUACUAGUGGUUGAAUGGAGAUCGCGUGAUUUUCCACGUUAUCAUUUCAUUCUUUGGACAGGCUCAAUUUAAUAAACAGUUUCGUUAUUCAGAGGCUUGAAGGAUAUUCUUUCUUGGUAGUAAAGUAGCAGAACACAAGUUCUUUCUUCCUCUUCGAAAUUGCUUACUAAAUGAAGAAAAAGAAACCAUCAUUGAGCAUUUUCUUGAGCUCCUAUUUAUUUUUGUUUGCACGGUUAUAUUUUUGUUCUUUGAGC